CAAAAAGAAAAAAAAACGAAGGAGUUUAUAAUAAUAACACUGAUACACUAUUCUAUUGCUGUUUACUUAUUCUCUCUUUCUCCCCUCAACUUGUGUCUUGAUUACACAAACACACACCAGGGCGGACUUUUUAUGAAUCGGUGUA
RNAcentral lists this non-coding RNA (145 nucleotides) under Thalassiothrix antarctica. The record is from RNAcentral. Lineage: Eukaryota; Bacillariophyta; Fragilariophyceae; Thalassionematales; Thalassionemataceae.